RNAcentral lists this small RNA (626 nucleotides) under Pongo abelii (Sumatran orangutan). RNAcentral describes it as "retained intron". The record is from RNAcentral. Lineage: Eukaryota; Metazoa; Chordata; Mammalia; Primates; Hominidae.
CUAAGAAGAAAUAGAUCAAUUGUUGUGGAUUUGUUCCAUGGGCAGCUAAGAUCUCAAGUCAAAUGCAAGACAUGUGGGCAUAUAAGUGUCCGAUUUGACCCUUUCAAUUUUUUGUCUUUGCCACUACCAAUGGACAGUUAUAUGCACUUAGAAAUAACAGUGAUUAAGUUAGAUGGUACUACCCCUGUACGGUAUGGACUAAGACUGAAUAUGGAUGAAAAGUACACAGGUUUAAAAAAACAGCUGAGUGAUCUCUGUGGACUUAAUUCAGAACAAAUCCUUCUAGCAGAAGUACAUGAUUCCAACAUAAAGGUAAUGUUAACUACUCUAAGAAACUUUUGAUUCUAUCCUUCAAAGAUGACAUUUUUCUCGAUUAUUAUGAUCAGUUGUUAGGUUAUGUGACCAAGAGAGAUACUAAAACAUAGUGAAAACUGAACAACAACAACAACAAAAAAUGCCAAGUUUUCCAACCCAGAAACUUAAGCAUUUUCUACUAGAAUAAAAGGAUAAUACUGAUGGUGGUAUUUUUGAAGAAGGGAAAUAUGUAAGGCUGCCUGUAUGGAGUGUUCUAGCUGUGUCACUAUAGUAUAGGUUUCCUCCAAAGACUGCUGCUAUUACACUUCACA